CUACGGGAGGCAGCAGUGGGGAAUAUUGCACAAUGGGCGCAAGCCUGAUGCAGCCAUGCCGCGUGUAUGAAGAAGGCCUUCGGGUUGUAAAGUACUUUCAGCGGGGAGGAAGGUGAUACGGUUAAUAACCGUGUCAAUUGACGUUACCCC
This 150-nucleotide ribosomal RNA is filed under the name uncultured Enterobacter sp. RNAcentral's name for it is "partial 16S ribosomal RNA". It matches the Rfam family "Bacterial small subunit ribosomal RNA", at positions 339 to 481 of the family's 1533-position model. Lineage: Bacteria; Pseudomonadati; Pseudomonadota; Gammaproteobacteria; Enterobacterales; Enterobacteriaceae. The record is from RNAcentral.